This 490-nucleotide ribosomal RNA is filed under the name uncultured bacterium. RNAcentral's name for it is "partial 16S ribosomal RNA". It matches the Rfam family "Bacterial small subunit ribosomal RNA", at positions 30 to 507 of the family's 1533-position model. The record is from RNAcentral.
AUUGAACGCUGGCGGCAGGCCUAACACAUGCAAGUCGAACGGUAACAGGAAGAGGCUUGCUUCUUUGCUGACGAGUGGCGGGCGGGUGAGUAAUGUCUGGGAAACUGCCUGAUGGAGGGGGAUAACUACUGGAAACGGUAGCUAAUACCGCAUAACGUCGCAAGACCAAAGAGGGGGACCUUCGGGCCUCUUGCCAUCGGAUGUGCCCAGAUGGGAUUAGCUAGUAGGUGGGGUAACGGCUCACCUAGGCGACGAUCCCUAGCUGGUCUGAGAGGAUGACCAGCCACACUGGAACUGAGACACGGUCCAGACUCCUACGGGAGGCAGCAGUGGGGAAUAUUGCACAAUGGGCGCAAGCCUGAUGCAGCCAUGCCGCGUGUAUGAAGAAGGCCUUCGGGUUGUAAAGUACUUUCAGCGGGGAGGAAGGGAGUAAAGUUAAUACCUUUGCUCAUUGACGUUACCCGCAGAAGAAGCACCGGCUAACUCCGUG